UCCCUGAUAGCUCAGUUGGUAAAGAAUCUGCUUGCAAUGCAGGAGACCCUGGUUCGAUUCCUGGGUUGGGAA
RNAcentral lists this transfer RNA (72 nucleotides) under Muntiacus reevesi (Reeves' muntjac). It matches the Rfam family "tRNA". From Rfam's summary of the family: Transfer RNA (tRNA) molecules are approximately 80 nucleotides in length. Their secondary structure includes four short double-helical elements and three loops (D, anti-codon, and T loops). Lineage: Eukaryota; Metazoa; Chordata; Mammalia; Artiodactyla; Cervidae. The record is from Rfam by way of RNAcentral. RNAcentral also lists the same sequence under 5 other names.